GCAUAUCAAUAAGCGGAGGAAAAGAAACCAACAGGGAUUGCCCCCAGUAACGGCGAGUGAAGCGGCAAUAGCUCAAAUUUGAAAUCUGGCCCCUUUGGGGUCCGAGUUGUAAUUUGCAGAGGGCGCUUUGGAGUUGGCUGCAGCCUAAGUUCCUUGGAACAGGUCAUCAUAGAGGGUGAGAAUCCCGUAUGUGGUUGCAUGCCUUCGCCGUGUAAAGCCCCUUCGAUGAGUCGAGUUGUUUGGGAAUGCAGCUCUAAAUGGGAGGUAAAUUUCUUCUAAAGCUAAAUAUUGGCCAGAGACCGAUAGCGCACAAGUAGAGUGAUCGAAAGAUGAAAAGCACUUUGGAAAGAGAGUCAAAAAGCACGUGAAAUUGUUGAAAGGGAAGCGCUUGCAGCCAGACUUGCCCGCAGUUGCUCAUCCGGGGUUCUCCCCGGUGCACUCUUCUGUGGGCAGGCCAGCAUCAGUUCGGGCGGUUGGAGAAAGACCUGUGUCAUGUAGCUGUUCUCGGGCAGUGUUAUAGGGCAGGUGGAAUGCAACCAGCUCGAACUGAGGUCCGCGCAUCUGCUAGGAUGCUGGCGUAAUGGCUGUAAGCGGCCCGUCUUGAAACACGGACCAAGGAGUCUAACAUCUAUGCGAGUGUUUGGGUGUCAAGCCCGAGCGCGUAAUGAAAGUGAACGGAGGUGGGAACCCCUCGGGGUGCACCAUCGACCGAUCCUGAUGUCUUCGGAUGGAUUUGAGUAAGAGCAUAGCUGUUGGGACCCGAAAGAUGGUGAACUAUGCCUGAAUAGGGUGAAGCCAGAGGAAACUCUGGUGGAGGCUCGCAGCGGUUUCUGACGUGCAAAUCGAUCGUCAAAUUUGGGCAUAGGGGCGAAAGACUAAUCGAACUAUCUAGUAGCUGGUUCCUGC
This 906-nucleotide ribosomal RNA is filed under the name Pleomassaria siparia. Its description in RNAcentral is "LSU rRNA". It matches the Rfam family "Eukaryotic large subunit ribosomal RNA", at positions 38 to 961 of the family's 3401-position model. The record is from RNAcentral. Lineage: Eukaryota; Fungi; Ascomycota; Dothideomycetes; Pleosporales; Pleomassariaceae.